GAUGAGGAACGUAGCGAAAUGCGAUAAGUAAUGUGAAUUGCAGAAUUCAGUGAAUCAUCGAAUCUUUGAACGCACAUUGCGCCCGCCAGUAUUCUGGCGGGCAUGCCUGUCCGAGCGUCAUUUCAACCAUCAAGCCCCCGGGCUUGUGUUGGGGACCUGCGGCUGCCCGCAGGCCCUGAAAACCAGUGGCGGGCUCGCUGUCACACCGAGCGUAGUAGCAAUCACCUCGCUCAGGGCGUGCUGCGGGUUCCGGCCGUUAAACAGCCUUACAAAACCCAAGGUUGACCUCGGAUCAGGUAGGAAGACCCGCUGAACUUAAGCAUAUCAAUAAGCGGAGGA
Molecule: unclassified non-coding RNA, 339 nt
Filed under: soil metagenome
Description: partial contains 5.8S ribosomal RNA, internal transcribed spacer 2, and large subunit ribosomal RNA
Rfam family: 5.8S ribosomal RNA (bases 1-120)
Source: RNAcentral